UACAGAGGGGGCAAGCGUUGUUCGGAAUUACUGGGCGUAAAGGGCGCGUAGGCGGCCUGCUAAGUCAGACGUGAAAUCCCUCGGCUUAACCGGGGAACUGCGUCUGAUACUGGUUGGCUUGAAUCCGGGAGAGGGAUGUGGAAUUCCAGGUGUAGCGGUGAAAUGCGUAGAUAUCUGGAGGAACACCGGUGGCGAAGGCGGCAUCCUGGACCGGUAUUGACGCUGAGGAGCGAAAGCCAGGGGAGCAAACGGG
Molecule: ribosomal RNA, 253 nt
Filed under: uncultured bacterium
Lineage: Bacteria
Description: partial 16S ribosomal RNA
Rfam family: Bacterial small subunit ribosomal RNA
Source: RNAcentral